This 6845-nucleotide unclassified non-coding RNA is filed under the name Hevea brasiliensis (rubber tree). The record is from RNAcentral. Lineage: Eukaryota; Viridiplantae; Streptophyta; Magnoliopsida; Malpighiales; Euphorbiaceae.
GUAGACGGGUGAGGGGUGUUACAAUAAGAGCUGGAGCAAAGGUAGCAGAUACCUCUAGAGAAGUGGGUGAAGGAAUAUCUCCUAGAGGAUCAUCAUCAUCUCUAACGUUUGCUACCUCCUGUGUAGCAUGAUCACUCUUAGAGGUGGCUGGGCCUUGUGCCUCUUCUUGAGUCCCAGAAUGUCUCUUAAAAGAAGCAUCGUUUGUAGAAGAUGUGUCAGAAUCUGAAGGAGUCCUUAGGUUAGUAUCACUACUGUCAAAAACUUCAACUGAAACUGAAGGGAAAGCCCGAGGCUUCUUGGCCUUAGGCACAUGACGGCCGGAACGCCUGAUAAAAGGAUGAGAGGAACUUCCCUGCUGCUUCUUCUGAGGUUGAGGGGAGUUCUUGAUUUUGGACCUCUAUCUCUUGGUUGGUGCCCUAGUCUUCUUAGAUAGAGAAAGUUGUGACUAGGAAAAAGCCCUUUCUUACUUUCUGGAGAUGAGUUGUAGUAGUAGGAGUAGAGGGAGUGUAUGGUAGAGGACAGCCAAAGGUCUGAGAACAGCAUCAUGAAACUUGGAGGACCACUAGCUCAAAAAAGAAAGUACCAACAGAAAGUACCAACAGCCUCCAUGGGAAUCAUUCGGCACACAUCCUGCAACUGUUAUGCCCUGUAACUAUACUGAUCCAUGUCUGCUAAAGAUGAUAGACUGAUCCAACUAGCAGUGACUUGGUUAGCAUGAAUAAGGAUGCCAGAGGGAACACCCUCAAUGAAUCCUAAUUAUCAGCAUUAAAGGGAAGGCAUGCAUAACUCCAGUCUAGGCUUCACUAUGACUAAACGAGUGCCAAAUGAGGAACCAGUUUAUAUGUGCCAAAUAAUGAUGAUAGAGGCCCAUUGGCUAACAGCAUUAUCUAUAAAGGUGGCUCUGAAGUGGAUGAGCCAAGUAGAAAGGCCAACAAAUUCAAGAGCUUUAAUGUCAUCAAAAGGAGUAAAGCCGAAGAAGUCUAGAGUGAGUAGCUAGACCAAGAACCUCAGUACCUGACUCUCAUCCCAAGUGCAAGCUAGAGAAGCAACUUUUCUACCGAAGACACUAUCAACAAGGACUGGUGUAGUGUCUGCCAGCUCCGGGAAGUAGGAGAGUAGCCACAGCUGUACAAUGCAAAAAGCGCCAUUCACCUUAUUCAGUGACGCAUCAUCUGAUAACAUGGUAGAUAAAGCUCAAAAAAAUAAGGCCAGCAACAUAGUACCAAGGGCACGAGGUUGACCCAUGGUGAGAGAACAAGCUAGUGGCAGGUACUCAAUAGAGGGGCACCCAAAAGAGAGGCAAAAGAUGAAUUUGCAAAUCAAGCACCAAAUGAAUAGAGUAUGGUCUAACUAGCUAAUGCUGGAGCUAUACUCAAUAAGAACACUAUAAAAAGUGAAUCUGUCUAGUUUUUUGUAUCUGGAAAGUAACUCUAUUAAAGAGCUAGGAACCUCAUUGCCAAUAAUAGGUAGGCCUACUAGGACCUUAAUAUCCUCCAAUUUGAUAGACAUUGGCCCCAUUGGCAAGAUAAAAGAGUUGCAAGAUCCGGACCAUAGCCUUAAGGAACUAGCCAAAUAACCCAGGACAAAAAGGUAGGGUGUAUCUAGUUAGCUUGAUGAAGUCAUAGAUACCCAGAAGCUUCCAAGUAUGAGAGAAGUGAGGCUAGAGUCUGUCUAUCCACACCUCCCAGCUAGAAGAUUGCUUCGGCCAGGAUUUGAUGUCACCUGGACAGAGGAGAGACUGUAAUUCUCGAUCAAGCAACAGCUCUUGGUAUCUCCACAGAAGGAAAGGAGGCAAUGGAAUGCCGUGUGAGAGAGCAAAAGGAUCAAUGGUGGCAGCCUCUGUCACAAGACCCUGGUGAGAUGAAAAUUGGACAAAGUUUCCUCUAUAAAAUGGACAUCCAGUUCUUCAAGUAUGAACCAAUUGUCACAAUAAAUGAUUAAAACGCAACCUGCAAAAAGCUCACAUAUACAGUAAGUUCAAAAAAUACCUCCAGUAAUGCGAGAAAAUAAGUUAGUAUUGGGCAUAGGAAAGGCUGGUGGAGUGUAAACUUGCUAGGCAGUAGAGGUAGCACUCAACUUAGGAACACUACUGCUAAUAAGAGAAACCUGUGGUACCAUCAGUGGUACCUGCGAAGCUACAAGUACCUAUGAAGUGAUAGGUACCAGGGUACCAAUAAGUGCCUGUGAACUAGAAGGAGAGUCUAAUGCCAUCGGUACAAGCACAAAGGACAUACCAAAUGUGCAUUCCUAAAACAACAAUCAAAGAGCACAGGUAUUGACAUGCAAAUUCAACUUACAGAUACUUAACAAAUGCAAAUAGUGCAAUAUGUACUGAGCAACCUACUACAGCGAAUGCAAGUACCUGAGAAGGUACUUACAAAAUUCUCAAAACCAGGAAAAAUCAACAAGACCCAUUCAAUUAUCUAACUACUCCAAGGCAAGAUUAGCACCAAAAGGAAUGAAUGUGCAAGAAGGAGAUUGAAUCUCGCAAGUUGAUAGCAAGGAACUCUAGUCAGUGCCAAAGCUAUGCCAUCGAUGAUAGGUAGCUACGAAGGUAAGCGUUAGAGCCAUAACUGAAAUGGAAACAACCAGGGAAAGAUGUUCGAGGAAGGGCCUCGUGCCAACAAUCGAUAGCUAGAGGCAAAUUGGCGAGAAGAACAAUGAUUGAAAUGACAUUGAGGGAAAUAGAAUCAGGCGAUGGGGGAAUGGUGUGCCGAUGAGAUAAACCAAGAUGGGUAGCUAAUGGAUGACUAAUGACCGUGCAGUUGCACGGUUAAGGAAGCUCGCUAGCAAUGAAUGGGACAAAGAAGAAAAGUAUGGGUUUAUGAGACUGAUUGUUUUCUGAUUUGAUAAUCGUAAUCAAUGAGUUUAAGAGCGGAGAAAUACAGGUAAAGCGUGAGAGAGUUUCUUUCAAUUGCCAUUAAUGAUAUACUAUGGGAUUCGUUAUUUGCAGUAAAUAAAGUUCCAUAGAAAAUUGGACUCUUAUGGGAUAAGGCUAAUUUAAAUUUAAGGUAUGUAUGAAUGGCGGGGCUUCCAAGUUAUGAACAAUAGGUAUUUAUGUAAUCAGAUUGGAAAAAAUAUUUAACCCAAUAAUUGUUGUAUUACGUCCUCCGACAAAUUUCUCUUUUUUUUUUUUAAUAAAUCAAUUUACAUGAUCACCUAUGUAACAAUUUUUCUGUGGUAUUAUUUUUUUUUUUUAUCAAGGGUAUUAAAUUCAGCGAAUUCUUAUUGUGCCGUGUUGAUAUUUGAAUUUUUUGCUUAACUGAUCACCCAUGACAAUCUAACUCCAACAUUACCACUAGCACAUCCAAAUUCUAGACACCCAUGGCGUCUGUGUACUGUACAUAUAAAGAGAGAACGAGAGAUGUGAAGCCAUAAUUUCUCAACAUAUCUAAAGGUAAAAACAAAAGAGACACAAUCAUUAAAGUUGACAUCAGGCGAAUAUAAAUGAUAAAAACACACCAAUUUGGAAAAGGGGGAAUUUGUUUAUAAAGAGCCUAUCCUGUGUGCUAUUAAGCUUUUUCCUCACCAACACGUUGAAAUGACUCCAAAGGGUGCAUCUCCAGCUAAUUUCAAAAUACCACGUCGAUUGACAUUGAAGGACAUUAAAACCUUUUCAACAAUCAAAUAUUUACCAUUUGCUUUCAGCUCUCUUCAUUUGUAGAAUUCAAAGUCGGUAUCAGGUUUCUUCACAUUGGUUCGGUAACCUUUCUCAAAGUCCUUAGGGAGUAUGACAUACCUAUUCUUGCGAACUGCAUGCAUCCCUGCUUCCUGACAAAUAGCUGCAAUCUGCAGAAGGUCAUGCAAUUAAAAUAACUAUAUUAACUAAUGCCACGCGCGAGUUCACCAUCCUUUAUUAUAUUAACAGGCAGCCUAGAUUUUGGACAAUCCUUGGCCAUUAGCUAACUAACCCUCCCUCUUACUUGUGAUGGGCCAAAGAACAGUAUCAAUAAACCAACCACAUAUUUAAAUUACAGUUGCAGCUGCAAUGACAGUUGCAGUUGAAGUCACAAAUCAUGAAUAAUAGUAGCGCCUGCGAUGGCACAAGUUUUUUUAUUUUUUAAUGGCAAAUUACAUCAAAUGAAUAUACAAGAAUUUUACUACAAUUGAUUUAACUAAUAAAUUAGAACAAGGGAAUAAUUACAAUUGAUUUAACUAAUAAAUCAGCAUAAGUGAAUAAUUAAAAAUGCCCUACCCAUAUUUUGUUUUAUUACCUAUCAGCUUAGUUUCAAUUUUUAAAGCAAAAUUAAAUCACAUCAACAGUUCCACAUCAAGUGACCAUGAAAAGAGUGUUCAUAUUUAAAAAAUUUGAAAAAUAAAAAUCAAAAGAAAAUAAAAGGGUAAAUUUUCUGAAAUUCUGGAAGUUCAAAAGUCAUGUGAACCAGUAAGUCAAUUUUGAAUAUGUAAGAGAUCUUACCAUUCGACUCAUCAACUGUUGUCUAUCAAUUCAUCAAUUGUUGCAGCAGUGACAGUUAAUGGCAGCAACCAGCGCCUUCGAUAGCCAUGAUUGUGAUUGUGGUGACAGUGUGGCAAUUAAAAAGCAGAAAGCAUAUGGCAAUCCUUACUUUUCAAAAAUGCAAUUUUUUUGCUGGUAUUCUGUUAUUUUAUAUGGACAUAUUUUUAUCAAACUAAACAUCACUUUUGCUUUGUUGCUUUCACAAGGGCAAAUAGGAAAACAUAUUUCAACAGGAAAACAAAUGUUGGCUAAGUUAAUGAAAGAUUCCAAGCAUAAGACCCCAGCCUGACAGAACAGUGUAAUGUCAUACACCUGAGUGUUGGAAAUUUUCUUAAAACUACUGACAAUUCACAUGACAUAGUUACAUUUAUAAUUCUCUAUUUACAUGGUAAGCACAUUCAAUGUCAUGCUUAAAAAUGUUUGUAAGAAUUAUUUGCAUUGAAGCAAGUUCUAUCCCAACUUAGGAUACAUAUGAUGAAUAGCACCAGCACAUGAAGAAAUUCUUAAACUCACAACAUUGUCAUUACAGGAAUUUGAUUAAAAGUCAAAGAAGGUUAAUCCUGUGUUUCACUUCUUGUUUCUUACAAGAAAAUUAAGAAUAUGAUACUCUACUUUAUAAAAUGACAAUUUCAAGAAAACCAAAAGAAUUAACCAAAUUUUAGUUUCAGUCAACAAUAUACAUUAUGUUUUUCCACAGUAAUUUGUUAAACAUGUGUCAUGUUUUUCCCAUAGUAAUUCAUUAAACCUACUAGUUUCCAAGAUCUUCUCGCAGGAGUUGGGUCAAAGUAAGCCAAUAACAAAAAUAUGGUAAGUUGGUAACGAAAACCGUAUAUAAUGAAGAUUAUAAGAAGAAAGAACAAACCUCAGCAGCACUGAUUUUAUCUGGCCGAGAAACAUAAUCCUCCAAGUCUACCUCAUCACUGAGAUUCAUUUUAGAAGUACAAACCUGGAAAACAAGCCUCUUUUGUCGUCUAUCAGGCAAUGGAAAUUCAAUUUUUCGGUCAAGUCUUCCAGGACGAAGAAGCGCAGGGUCCAAAGUGUCAGCACGAUUUGUUGCCAUUAUGACCUUAACAUUCACUGUCUGGUCGAACCCGUCCAUCUGAUUCAGAAGUUCCAUCAAGAUUCGUUGGACUUCUCUAUCAGCCCCAGUUUGAGCAUCAAACCUAGCAGUAGCAAUAGCAUCUACCUCAUCAAUGAAAAUAAUUGCAGGGGCAUUCUCCUUAGCAAGGCGAAAAACAUCACGAACCAUACGGGGGCCCUGAAGUAAAGAGAGGAAAAUUAUUAUUGAGCAAUACAAAUCUAAACAUGAUAAACAAAGUCAUCUGCCAAGCAGAAUAACAAAUUUUCAAACCAAUACUAGUAUUUCAUAGUUAGCGAAAUCCACAGCAAAAGUAUAUUAAAUGUCAUAAAAAAGAAAGCAACUGCUCCUCCUAAGGGAGCAUUUGUCUUGGGAUAAAUGGGGCUAUGUGUUACUCCAGCAACAAUUUAUCCCCUUUAACAGUGUUUAGUAUAAUACAGUUAAAGCUUAACCAGCUAAUCAUUUACCACCAAACAUGCUGAAUCAAUAAUACAUUACUCCUGACAGUUAGUGUGACAACUGAAAGAAGAAAGAGCUUAAGGUGAAUGAAAAAGGUUAAAGAAAUAUCAUUCCACUUCAUCUUCUCCUUCAAUCUUGAUCAGCACUAUCUCUAACCAGAUUUUUAAUCUUCAAUUCAUUUUGAAAUAAAGAAAAAUAACAGAUAUAUCUCUCUUUCCCUACCUUACACAGCCUGUUAAAAAUAUGAUCAUUUAAUGGAACUAAUUUGUUCUAGACUUGGACUUGGGUUCAGUUCAUUUGACAUAAGAAAAGUUCUCAUCUGUAGAAGUUUUCCUAUUGUUGCCCUCUUGAAUCACUUUAUUCAUUGUCGAAGUUUCGAGAUAAGUUUCAAUCACUAGAGGAGAAGAGAGCAAUUGUUCUAUUGCAAUUGUGAACUCUGUUCAAAUUGAUCUGAAUUCAUUUAAAAUUGCCAAAAGAAGAAAUCUAAUUACUUUUAAACUUUGUACCAAACAUAAGCAACCAUUAUUAGGUUAAUAAGUAUCCUUCAUCUCCCAAUGGUUAAUGAAGUAAUGGUUAAACACUUCUCCCAGACAUGGUUAAUAGAUGUAACGAUUACAACCUAAAAACUUUUUUUUAACCCUAUAAAAAAAAUGCACUUUUAAGUCCUAAAAUAAACAAUUAAACGAGAUGAGAAUGCUUAUAAAUAUCAUAGCUUUACCAUCACAUACAAGUGGGGAAGAGAGAGAGCUUCAGUGCAUGAGGCCUCCCUCAUCUCAGGCUCUACAAAAGGUCAGAUAUACCCAGCCUCUAGCAUUGAAAUGAUAAACAAUUCGAAAAAAAAAAAAUGUGAAG